GACGAACCGUGCGAACGUUGUUCGGAAUCACUGGGUUUAAAGGGCGCGUAGGCGGGCUGUCAAGUCGGUGGUGAAAUCGUUCCGCUCAACGGGACAAUGGCCUUCGAUACUGGCGGUCUGGAGGGAGGUAGGGGCAUGCGGAACUUCCGGUGGAGCGGUGAAAUGCGUAGAGGUCGGAAAGAACACCAACGGCGAAAGCACUCUGCUGGGCCGACACUGACACUGAGAGACGAAAGCUAGGGGAGCGAAUGGG
RNAcentral lists this ribosomal RNA (253 nucleotides) under uncultured bacterium. Its description in RNAcentral is "partial 16S ribosomal RNA". It matches the Rfam family "Bacterial small subunit ribosomal RNA", at positions 524 to 776 of the family's 1533-position model. The record is from RNAcentral.